RNAcentral lists this ribosomal RNA (392 nucleotides) under Euseius finlandicus. RNAcentral describes it as "partial 12S ribosomal RNA". The record is from RNAcentral. Lineage: Eukaryota; Metazoa; Arthropoda; Arachnida; Mesostigmata; Phytoseiidae.
UUAGAUACCCUAUUAGUUAAAUAAAAAUUUAGUAGUAGUUGUUUAUCAUGAAACUAAAAUUAAUUGGCGGCUUUUUAAAUUUUUUAGAGGAAUUUAUUCUGUGAAGGAUUAAACACCUACAUCUUACUUGCGUUUGUUACUUUCAGUUUGUAUACCGCUAUUUUUAAACAUAAAAAUAUGUUUUUUUUUCUAAUUGAAUUAGUAAAAUUUUAGGUUAGGUGCAGCUUAUACGCAAGAUUGAAAUAAAUUACAUAAAUUUUUAUUUAACCACUCUUUAUUAAGUAUUUUAUAAAGGGUAGUAGAAUUUAAUAGUAAAAUUAGCUUAUUUUGUUAAUUUGAAUAUCUAUUUAAUUGUGUACAUAUUGCCCGUCACUCUCUUUUAGAGAUAAGUC